This is a long non-coding RNA of Amphimedon queenslandica, 636 nucleotides long. RefSeq lists it as uncharacterized. The transcript has 2 exons. NCBI's taxonomy places the organism in Eukaryota, Metazoa, Porifera, Demospongiae, Haplosclerida, Niphatidae. The record is from RefSeq and is a predicted model, not a curated record.
CUCUGCAAAAAGAGAAUAUUCAUUCAUUUAUUUAAUCUCACUUCAUUCUCGCUUUUAUCCUCUGUGAUUAUAAAUCUAUACAAGAAAUUGCUCUGAGAAAAUUUCUGCCGCCAUCAUCUUUCUCAUUAAAAUUAUUCAGGCUUUAGUGUUAGCCACGCCCACGAAAAAAAUCAAGAUUCAAGAAACUUGAAGAAAAGAAAAUGUUUAACAUAGGGAAUGAACCGCCAAGAAUGAUCCUGGCAAGAAUGUUCCUGGGGUUUGCAAUCGCGUUUGGAGCAGGAUUGAUGUUAUCUGGCAGUUAUAACCAAAAAUCAGACAGAGAGUUGAGGAUGAAAGAAGAUGUUGUGAGAGAUAUGGAGAGACAAGCAAGCACACAAGAAACAAAACCUCCUCCUCCUUAAAAAGCAACAGGAAUUGGAACAAAAACUAAAACAAAAAACGCAUAACUGAAUUUAAUACAAUCAGUAUUAGUUGCAGGAGCCGGAGACGCCAUGUUUAUAAACUAGUAUCUAUGCACACAGGAUAAAAAAAGAAAUAUUUCAGCAUAAAGAUUAUUAAUAACAUCAAAUAAUUGUCAGUACGCCUAGCUAUUGUGCAUAAAAAAAACAAGCAUGUGUGUAUGAGAGUGAAGAGAGA